RNAcentral lists this long non-coding RNA (225 nucleotides) under Lathyrus oleraceus (garden pea). RNAcentral's name for it is "Pisum sativum (pea) long non-coding RNA (PSAT_LNC026642)". Lineage: Eukaryota; Viridiplantae; Streptophyta; Magnoliopsida; Fabales; Fabaceae. The record is from RNAcentral.
UCCGAUCUGCACGAUGGAAUCAAAUGCUGAAUAACAGAAUAUUGGUGCCGGAUUAUUAUUUGUCUCAAUGAUGCCAGGAUCGAGAGACAAAGUGUCCCUCAUGUGGAUAAACACUGCAUUCAUGCAUUGAUCAUAAUAACUUGUGUUUUAUUUUGCAGGUAUCUGUUACUAACGUGCUUGAUUGUUACAGGAAUCAUUGCUCGUGCUCGCAGAACUGUACCUUUG